This 631-nucleotide ribosomal RNA is filed under the name Chironomus cf. zealandicus CZ12020. RNAcentral describes it as "partial large subunit ribosomal RNA". It matches the Rfam family "Eukaryotic large subunit ribosomal RNA", at positions 269 to 754 of the family's 3401-position model. Lineage: Eukaryota; Metazoa; Arthropoda; Insecta; Diptera; Chironomidae. The record is from RNAcentral.
GUUGCUUGGAUUAGUGGCAGCAUUAAGUGGGGAAGGUAAACUCCCUUCUAAGACUAAAUAUUACCAUGAGACCGAUAGCGAACAAGUACCGUGAGGGAAAGUUGAAAAGCACUCUGAAUAGAGAGUCAAAUACUACGUGAAAACUGUCUAGGGGCUCAAACGCUAAAGAACCCAAAUAUCUAAACGGAGAAAUUCAAUACUACACGUUAAACACGUAGUGUGCACUUUUCUCUUAGUAAGACACCGUGAUCCAUUAGAAAUUGAUACAUACAAAAUGUAUAUUGGGUCAUCAAUAGGACAAUAUGAAGUUUAUAGGAACAAAUGAUGUAGCCUUUUACGGUUAUAUGUAUUGUCUUGUAAGCAUAUUGUUAUUAACCUGUAAUGACUGUCUGAUGGAUUUUAAAGAUCACAUUAUUAUGAUGUUAAGGCAUCACUCAUUUUAUUAUGAGAGGAAUUUAUAUAUGUGUGUGUCUGAUCAACGGUGGGUUAAAUUUGGGGAUACCUUUUGGACCCGUCUUGAAACACGGACCAAGGAGUCUAUCUAGUAUGCGAGUAAAUUGGAUAGUUAAUGAAAUCUAUUUGGCAUAAUAAAACUUGACUUUUUAUAUAAUGGGGAAUACCGAUUAUUGGU